UACGGAGGGUGCGAGCGUUACCCGGAAUCACUGGGCGUAAAGGGCGUGUAGGCGGGAAAGUAAGUCUGACUUUAAAGACUGCGGCUCAACCACAGCACGGGGUUGGAUACUGCAUUUCUAGACCUCUGGAGAGGCAACUGGAAUUCUUGGUGUAGCGGUGGAAUGCGUAGAUACCAAGAGGAACACCGAUGGCGAAGGCAGGUUGCUGGACAGAAGGUGACGCUGAGGCGCGAAAGUGUGGGGAGCGAACCGG
This 253-nucleotide ribosomal RNA is filed under the name uncultured bacterium. RNAcentral describes it as "partial 16S ribosomal RNA". It matches the Rfam family "Bacterial small subunit ribosomal RNA", at positions 524 to 776 of the family's 1533-position model. The record is from RNAcentral.